Molecule: ribosomal RNA, 497 nt
Filed under: uncultured bacterium
Lineage: Bacteria
Description: partial 16S ribosomal RNA
Rfam family: Bacterial small subunit ribosomal RNA
Source: RNAcentral
GAUGAACGCUGGCGGCGUGCCUAACACAUGCAAGUCGAGCGAACAGACGAGGAGCUUGCUCCUCUGACGUUAGCGGCGGACGGGUGAGUAACACGUGGAUAACCUACCUAUAAGACUGGGAUAACUUCGGGAAACCGGAGCUAAUACCGGAUAAUAUAUUGAACCGCAUGGUUCAAUAGUGAAAGACGGUUUUGCUGUCACUUAUAGAUGGAUCCGCGCCGCAUUAGCUAGUUGGUAAGGUAACGGCUUACCAAGGCAACGAUGCGUAGCCGACCUGAGAGGGUGAUCGGCCACACUGAAACUGAGACACGGUCCAGACUCCUACGGGAGGCAGCAGUAGGGAAUCUUCCGCAAUGGGCGAAAGCCUGACGGAGCAACGCCGCGUGAGUGAUGAAGGUCUUCGGAUCGUAAAACUCUGUUAUUAGGGAAGAACAAAUGUGUAAGUAACUAUGCACGUCUUGACGGUACCUAAUCAGAAAGCCACGGCUAACUACGUG